UACAGGACGAACGCUGGCGGCGUGCCUAACACAUGCAAGUCGAGCGAGGAGAGUCCUUCGGGAUGAUCCUAGCGGCGGACGGGUGAGUAACACGUGGGCAACCUGCCUCAUAGAGAGGAAUAGCCUUCCGAAAGGGAGAUUAAUACCUCAUAACAUUGCAGUUUCGCAUGGAACAGCAAUUAAAGGAGUAAUCCGCUAUGAGAUGGGCCCGCGGCGCAUUAGCUAGUUGGUGAGGUAAUGGCUCACCAAGGCGACGAUGCGUAGCCGACCUGAGAGGGUGAUCGGCCACAUUGGGACUGAGACACGGCCCAGACUCCUACGGGAGGCAGCAGUGGGGAAUAUUGCACAAUGGGGGAAACCCUGAUGCAAGCAACGCCGCGUGAGUGAUGACGGCCUUCGGGUUGUAAAGCUCUGUCUUCAGGGACGAUAAUGACGGUACCUGAGGAGGAAGCCACGGCUAACUACGUGCCAGCAGCCGC
This 479-nucleotide ribosomal RNA is filed under the name uncultured bacterium. RNAcentral's name for it is "bacterial SSU rRNA". It matches the Rfam family "Bacterial small subunit ribosomal RNA", at positions 26 to 518 of the family's 1533-position model. The record is from RNAcentral.